RNAcentral lists this transfer RNA (71 nucleotides) under Camelus dromedarius (Arabian camel). It matches the Rfam family "tRNA". From Rfam's summary of the family: Transfer RNA (tRNA) molecules are approximately 80 nucleotides in length. RNAcentral also lists the same sequence under 1 other name. The record is from Rfam by way of RNAcentral. Lineage: Eukaryota; Metazoa; Chordata; Mammalia; Artiodactyla; Camelidae.
GGGGGUAUAGCUCAGUGUAGAGCAUGUGCUUAGCAUGUGUGAGGUCCUGGGUUCAAUCCCUAGUACCUCCA